This 468-nucleotide ribosomal RNA is filed under the name uncultured bacterium. RNAcentral describes it as "partial 16S ribosomal RNA". It matches the Rfam family "Bacterial small subunit ribosomal RNA", at positions 28 to 507 of the family's 1533-position model. The record is from RNAcentral.
GACGAACGCUGGCGGCGUGCUUAACACAUGCAAGUCGAACGGAAAGGCCCUGCUUUUGUGGGGUGCUCGAGUGGCGAACGGGUGAGUAACACGUGAGUAACCUGCCCUUGACUUUGGGAUAACUUCAGGAAACUGGGGCUAAUACCGGAUAGGAGCUCCUGCUGCAUGGUGGGGGUUGGAAAGUUUCGGCGGUUGGGGAUGGACUCGCGGCUUAUCAGCUUGUUGGUGGGGUAGUGGCUUACCAAGGCUUUGACGGGUAGCCGGCCUGAGAGGGUGACCGACCAUAUUGGGACUGAGAUACGGCCCAGACUCCUACGGGAGGCAGCAGUGGGGAAUAUUGCACAAUGGGCGGAAGCCUGAUGCAGCAACGCCGCGUGCGGGAUGACGGCCUUCGGGUUGUAAACCGCUUUCGCCUGUGACGAAGCGUGAGUGACGGUAAUGGGUAAAGAAGCACCGGCUAACUACGUG